Molecule: long non-coding RNA, 4414 nt
Filed under: Solanum tuberosum (potato)
Lineage: Eukaryota; Viridiplantae; Streptophyta; Magnoliopsida; Solanales; Solanaceae
Description: long non-coding RNA (STUB_LNC007617)
Source: RNAcentral
UCAUGCUUCACACAAAUAUUCUAAACAAAUAGUAAAUUUAGUAUAUUACAAGACUUGGGCUUACACACCCCAAAAGAACAAAACAUAAGGCCAUACUUAUAUUACAAUCCAUGGUGACAUGAUCAAAUUAGUCUUCAAAAUUUCAUGUAAGUAUACAACACAUAGAUCACGUACAAGUCCCAAGGUUUAUACAAAAUAUAGAUGCCUAUAUGCAAAUGUGAUAUUUCUUAAAGCUCUCAAAAUCUCCAUCUUCAAUUGCCCACUUCACGCCUCCUCUCGAUCAAUCCCUACGAUAGAAACAACUAUCGCUAAGCAUAUAGCUUAGUGGUGCAAAAACUAUAGGUUCGGAGCCCUCAGAUUCACCAAGCUACCUUUCUCAAGUCAUGGGCAGAAUAUAUAAUCAAACAUAAUAAAUAAAUAAAGUAAACAAUAUAUCAAGAGUAUCAAAUUUGAUAUUUAAAGAUCCAAAUGUCAAGAACGCUCAUAGCACCAUUCUCCAAGAGAUUCAAUAACAAGUCUCGCCCAAUAUGUCCAUCAUGUCUUCACACCAAGCACAAGCAAGUAUCAAGAAGGGCCGACGCUCUAUAUCAAGAAGGGUCAAAGCCCAAUAAUCAAGAGAACCAAGAACCACAUUAGAAAUGGCUAACCAUAUUAAAAAUGACUUUCUAGUUCGUACUUAAAGUGGACAAUUUCCAUUCUUAAGACGAACUAAAAAUCUAGAGUCAAGAUGACAAAUGAUCCGAAUCAAGAGGCAUGCCAAUAGUGACAAAGUCACAGCCACAAGAAGGACAAGGUCCCAACAAGAGUGUCAAGUGAUCAAACAGUCCGUACAAGUGGGCGAGUUACAUGAGUAUCUUUAACAUCUUAAAGGAUACCAACACGACAAUGCAAAGUGCCAAGAGGUAAUCAAGGUACCAAGAUAACUUUUAGAUAUACCAGAAAGUAAACAGAGUACAAGUACAAGUUUAUACACAAACCUCCGUGCUUUAGCAAAGAAAUAGUCCAACACAACUUCGCGAGUUCAGACCGUAGACCAACCAAUGUUUCAAGGUCCUCAACUUGUUCACGAAUAUAUACAACCUUAAAAAUACAAUUAAAUAGCUUCUUUAAUUCCUAGCUGCUCAAUAAUGUUGAUGUAAAACAAGAUUAUCAUCACAAGUAAGCUUAGCCUGUACAAAUACGACUAUGCUCCCAAAACAGUGAUUCUGGCCAGCCUAGUACCUCAUGUCGCAACUUAGAUUUGAAAAGGAAAACGGCAAAACUAGACUUUAUAACCUUCAUGAAAGAUGUAGCUACAUCUCUUAAGGUUGCAAACAAACAAGAAUCACCGCAAAAUAUGUUCUGUACAACAAGAUAUAUUCAAAACACUAACAGGGGUUCAUACAUGAUUUGAAAUUCCAAAAUCAGGACAUAAUUUGUCCUAUGUUGUGUCUCAUAUUUCGAAUCCAUAAAAACUAAAUUAGAGUUUUACAUAAACAUAAGACUUGUAGGUCUACGAAUUAUAUUUUCAAAUCAUAUUUAUUCACUGUGAACUAAGUUUUAGAGACAGAUAUAUGCAUAAAAUACCAAACACUACCCAGCUCCGAAACAUAUUUCGUCACUUACCAAAAGAAGUGUGUGUCUUCGAAUUCCAGCCAAAAGGGCCAAGUUUUUCUCUUGUGAUUUUGAAGAACAAUCUGUUUAGCUAAGGUUCUAAUGUUCUUGGACUUGAGGUAAACAAAUUUAAUUAAAGGAGGUGUGAAAAUAUAUAGUUACAAAAGUGAUACUUAUCACAUUUACAGAUGUCACCAAAAGGGGUUGCCCAAACAAAAAGUUGGCUGCCUAAAAAGCAUACAUAUAUACAUAUAUGUAUAUCCUUCACCUCCCUUUAAAGUUAUACAUAAUUUUAAUUAGAAUAUUAUGAAAAUACCCCAAUACAAUACCUUAAAUUACUAUCACAACUUAUGUUAAGCAAGUAAGCAAUUCUCACAACAUUUCAAGUUCCCAAAAUGAGAGUAAAACAUAUUUUAAUAAUUAAGCUAUGGUAAAUCAACAUGUGACUCUUGAUUAAUAUUUAGGGAUGUUACAGUGAGUAUACUUGGGUUAAUGCAAUUGAAGAUUUUAGUUGGAAAGUGUGUAUAAAAUUUGGGUUAGUCUUUUGGAUCUGAUUGAUAUAACUGGGUUGAGGUGUCAUGUCGAUGAAAAGGUUAACUCGUGGUGAUGACAAGGGCUUACUGAGAAUGAUGGUAAUACAAGUUAGUGAUGUAUUGUGAUUGAGAUGCAACUAUAGAAUACAGAUUGUUGGUUAAAUAAAUUUUGUAUGGUAAUAAUGACUUGUGAGUAUCUAUGGUUGCAACUUUCUACUAUUUAGUGAGUAACGUGGUUGUAUGGAAAGUUUUGAGAGAUGUUGGGGCACGACUCAAAUAGAAUUUAAAGGAGCUGGAGUCAUAAUGAAGAUGAAAUAAAAUUAAUGGGAUGAGUGUAGCCUUCGGAAAGAGGUGAGAGUAAGAAUAUUUUCUCCGGUUGCAAGGACUUAAAAGGUAUCUUCAAUGGGAUUUAGAAUUGGGUUCAAAGAUGCGUAAUUUCAUCUGUUUUGCUCUGGUUAUGGUAAUAGUGUGACAUGUUCAUCAUAUUGGUUAAAACGAUUGAAAAAGACUUGAGAAAAGAGUGUACCUACGUUAAACUCGAGUGUGACGAUAAGUUCUUUUGUGGUUUUGAGUUCAGUAAUGAGUACUAUUGAAUUUUUAGCGAAGGAUAUGGUAAGAUCUUUGAAGAGGAGAUCAAUGAUAAGCUAAGAUACAUGAAUUCCUAAAAAAUCUUCAAGGUAUGAGCUAAUGUUGAUAGAUAAGAGGAUUGAGUUACACAGUUGAAUUUACAAUUCAAAUCUUUUUUUUGUCAUUAUACGUCUACAUUUAUGGUAAUAUGUUUUGUCAAGAUAUGGAUUGGUAAUAUAAGAAAUGAUUGAUUGCAUCGGUAUUGAGCAUGUGAAAGAACUUAUGCAUGUUUUGGACAUAAAGUUUGUUACUUUUUAUGUAGAAUUUUUAUUUUUUUUUUCUUAAUUUUUUUGGUCAAAACUAUUAUCUAAAAGUCAAAGAUCAGAAGAAGGUUUAUCUUUUUUUCAAGUCAUGCUUAUUAAUGAGUUAGAAAAAUUCUUUCAAAUUUAUAUAGAUUAACAAUCUAAAUCCUUUAUAGUGUCUCGUGUAAUGUCACAUCACUUACAAAAUUAUUGUUUUAAAAUGUAAUUUACUAAAGUUGUUUGACUUAGUUAUUCGUUACAUAUUUUUUUCGUCAAUUAAAUUUUAUCUUACUCUAUAAAAACCUAUUUAUUAAAAAAAGAUUAUACUAUUUAUUUUGAUAAGGCAAAUCAAUUUUAAUAGGAAUUUAUUUUAUUAAAUAAAUUUUAUUAAUUAUAUUUUGAAAUUAAAUUUGGUAACUAUUACUAUAAAAAUAAUUACUAGAGCUAUUGGACUAAGUUAUUCAUUAUAUCUUUUUCGUAUAUUAAAUUAUAUUUUACUCUAUUAAAAAAAUUAUUCCAAAAAUAAAUUAGACUAUUUAUUUUGAUAUAUAAUACAAAUAUAUUUAUUAGGAGUUUAUUUGGAAUUUCCUUGAUAUUUGAUUUUAUCGAUUCAAAAUUAAUAGAACUCAUAUUGCAAUACUUAAAUGAAUAAUUUUGCCUACUGAUAUAUCCUCACAAAAAUAUAGUGACCAAUGAAUUUUGUGUUUGAGGACGUUUUUGGGUGUGAAGAAAUUGAAAAGGGUGUGAGUAGGAAUGAAGUGGGAAAUGGUGAAAACUGAAAAGAGCGGACAAUGAGAGAGAAAAAUCAUACUUUUUUUCUCUGUAUAUUAUUUAUCUUUUUAAUAUGUAAUUUCUGAUGUGUCAUAAAAAAGAAUAUAAGAUAUAUAAAAAAUAAUGUUGGAAUACCAUGUGUAGUUGGUUGUAUUAUAUACCCAAUGAUCAAGUGAGAAAGGAGUUUAAAAUAUUGUUCUUUAUCGAGUUUAAGUAUUUAUUUGACAAAAUGAUAAGUAAGAAGGUUCAAUUAACAAACGGAACCAAAUACAAUAAUUUUUCAAGUCAUAACUCCCCUAAAUAUUCACAACUAACAUUUUUGCUCUUGAUAAUGGGAGUGACCAAAUUUCAUGCCACCCUAAAUAAUCACGGUUGGAAAAAUAAAAAUUUCACCCAAAAAUAAAAUUCAUGUUAAAUAGCAAUAAUAAGAGAAUAACAACAACAUCAAAUACUCUAAUCAAAUAAAAAUAUAAUAUCCAAACAAAGUAAUAAAUACCACUGCUUACAGCUUGAUGGUGUUAAGAGACUAACCACACUUUCUAACUAAACAACAUUCUUUUACGUCACACAACUCAUCAUAAUAUUAUUCUCGCACAAUUUUCUUAUAGACUAUAAAAAAUAAUCUAUAGAUUACUCUUUAUUGCUCUC